GACGAACGCUGGCGGCGUGCCUAAUACAUGCAAGUUGAGCGCUGAAGGUUGGUACUUGUACCAACUGGAUGAGCAGCGAACGGGUGAGUAACGCGUGGGGAAUCUGCCUUUGAGCGGGGGACAACAUUUGGAAACGAAUGCUAAUACCGCAUAAAAACUUUAAACACAAGUUUUAAGUUUGAAAGAUGCAAUUGCAUCACUCAAAGAUGAUCCCGCGUUGUAUUAGCUAGUUGGUGAGGUAAAGGCUCACCAAGGCGAUGAUACAUAGCCGACCUGAGAGGGUGAUCGGCCACAUUGGGACUGAGACACGGCCCAAACUCCUUCGGGAGGCAGCAGUAGGGAAUCUUCGGCAAUGGACGAAAGUCUGAACGAGCAACGCCGCGUGAGUGAAGAAGGUUUUCGGAUCGUAAAACUCUGUUGGUAGGGAAGAACGUUGGUGGGAGUGGAAAGCUCAUCAAGUGACGGUAACUACCCAGAAAGGGACGGCUAACUACGUG
RNAcentral lists this ribosomal RNA (497 nucleotides) under uncultured bacterium. RNAcentral's name for it is "partial 16S ribosomal RNA". It matches the Rfam family "Bacterial small subunit ribosomal RNA", at positions 28 to 507 of the family's 1533-position model. The record is from RNAcentral.